UGAGGAAUAUUGGUCAAUGGGCGGGAGCCUGAGCCAGCCAAGUCGCGUGAAGGAAGAAGGAUCUAUGGUUCGUAAACUUCUUUUGCAGGGGAAUAAAGUGCAGGACGUGUCCUGUUUUGUAUGUACCCUGAGAAUAAGGAUCGGCUAACUCCGUGCCAGCAGCCGCGGUAAUACGGAGGAUCCGAGCGUUAUCCGGAUUUAUUGGGUUUAAAGGGUGCGUAGGUGGUUUGAUAAGUCAGCGGUGAAAGUUUGCAGCUUAACUGUAAAGAUGCCGUUGAAACUGUCGGACUUGAGUGUAAAUGAGGUAGGCGGAAUGCGUGGUGUAGCGGUGAAAUGCAUAGAUAUCACGCAGAACUCCGAUUGCGAAGGCAGCUUACUAAGCUACAACUGACACUGAAGCACGAAAGCGUGGGGAUCAAACA
This 422-nucleotide ribosomal RNA is filed under the name uncultured bacterium. Its description in RNAcentral is "bacterial SSU rRNA". It matches the Rfam family "Bacterial small subunit ribosomal RNA", at positions 355 to 774 of the family's 1533-position model. The record is from RNAcentral.